ACCAAAUUGUUCAACCAGUAUCAUUGGCUGUCUAUAACUCUCCAACUUAUAGACGGUCUCUCUAAUCUGGAAGAGAAAUCCUCGAACAACUUAAGUUCUGCUAUAGAAUGAAAGAAUUUUGCUCAAAAAGGCGAAGUUCCCACAUUAUCUAGCCCUAUUGUCGUUCAAACAUUA
RNAcentral lists this small nucleolar RNA (174 nucleotides) under Kazachstania africana CBS 2517. Its description in RNAcentral is "Small nucleolar RNA snR161". It matches the Rfam family "Small nucleolar RNA snR161". The record is from Rfam by way of RNAcentral. Lineage: Eukaryota; Fungi; Ascomycota; Saccharomycetes; Saccharomycetales; Saccharomycetaceae.